This 77-nucleotide transfer RNA is filed under the name Nitrososphaerales archaeon. RNAcentral describes it as "tRNA-Gly". It matches the Rfam family "tRNA". From Rfam's summary of the family: Transfer RNA (tRNA) molecules are approximately 80 nucleotides in length. Lineage: Archaea; Thermoproteati; Nitrososphaerota; Nitrososphaeria; Nitrososphaerales. The record is from RNAcentral.
GCGGUCGUCGUCCAGUCUGGUUAAGACACUAGCUUGCCAAGUUAGCAACCCGGGUUCAAAUCCCGGCGACCGCACCA